GGCGGUGUAGCCAAGUGGUAAGGCAGAUGACUGCAAAUCAUUUAUCCCCCAGUUCGAAUCUGGGCACCGCCU
This 72-nucleotide transfer RNA is filed under the name Bathycoccus prasinos. It matches the Rfam family "tRNA". Rfam says of the family: Transfer RNA (tRNA) molecules are approximately 80 nucleotides in length. The record is from Rfam by way of RNAcentral. Lineage: Eukaryota; Viridiplantae; Chlorophyta; Mamiellophyceae; Mamiellales; Bathycoccaceae.